RNAcentral lists this ribosomal RNA (257 nucleotides) under uncultured bacterium. RNAcentral's name for it is "partial 16S ribosomal RNA". It matches the Rfam family "Bacterial small subunit ribosomal RNA", at positions 355 to 604 of the family's 1533-position model. The record is from RNAcentral.
UGGGGAAUAUUGCACAAUGGGCGCAAGCCUGAUGCAGCCAUGCCGCGUGUGUGAAGAAGGCCUUCGGGUUGUAAAGCACUUUCAGCGAGGAGGAAGGGUAGUGUGUUAAUAGCACAUUGCAUUGACGUUACUCGCAGAAGAAGCACCGGCUAACUCCGUGCCAGCAGCCGCGGUAAUACGGAGGGUGCAAGCGUUAAUCGGAAUUACUGGGCGUAAAGCGCACGCAGGCGGUUUGUUAAGUCAGAUGUGAAUCCCGC